GGUUAAUUGACCCAACACGGGGAAACUUACCAGGUCCCAGACGUAGUAAGGAUUGACAGAUUGAUAGCUCUUUCUUGAUUCUAUGGGUGGUGGUUGCAUGGCCGUUCUUUAGUUGGUGGAGUGAUUUUGUCUGGUUAAUUCCGAUAACGAACGAGACCUUAACCUGCUAACUAGAUACUUUUAUUCUAUAAAUGUCAUCUUCUUAGAGGGACUAUGUAAUCUAAAUACAUGGAAGUUUGAGGCAAUAACAGGUCAGUGAUGCCCUUAUAUGUCCUGGGCUGCACGCGUGCUACACUGAUGCAUACAACAAGUGCCUAACCAGACAUGGUACGGCAAUCUCGAAUAUGCAUCGUGAUGGGGAUAGAUCUUUGCAAUUAUAGAUCUUGAACGAGGAAUUCCUAGUAAGUGCAAGUCAUCAUCUUGCAUUGAUUAUGUCCCUGCCCUUUGUACACACCGCCCGUCGCUCCUACCGAUACCGGGUGAUCCGGUGAACCUUUUGGACUCAUUGAGAAAGAUAAGUAAACCAUAUCACCUAGAGGAAGGAGAAGUCGUAACAAGGUUUCCGUAGGUGAACCUGCAGAAGGAUCA
This 588-nucleotide ribosomal RNA is filed under the name uncultured rumen Ophryoscolecidae. Its description in RNAcentral is "SSU rRNA". It matches the Rfam family "Eukaryotic small subunit ribosomal RNA", at positions 1188 to 1828 of the family's 1831-position model. The record is from RNAcentral. Lineage: Eukaryota; Ciliophora; Litostomatea; Entodiniomorphida; Ophryoscolecidae.